GAUGAACGCUGGCGGCGUGCCUAAUACAUGCCAGUCGAGCGAACAGACGAGGAGCUUGCUCCCCUGACGUUAGCGGCGGACGGGUGAGUAACACGUGGAUAACCUACCUAUAAGACUGGGAUAACUUCGGGAAACCGGAGCUAAUACCGGAUAAUAUAUUGAACCGCAUGGUUCAAUAGUGAAAGACGGUUUUGCUGUCACUUAUAGAUGGAUCCGCGCCGCAUUAGCUAGUUGGUAAGGUAACGGCUUACCAAGGCAACGAUGCGUAGCCGACCUGAGAGGGUGAUCGGCCACACUGGAACUGAGACACGGUCCAGACUCCUACGGGAGGCAGCAGUAGGGAAUCUUCCGCAAUGGGCGAAAGCCUGACGGAGCAACGCCGCGUGAGUGAUGAAGGUCUUCGGAUCGUAAAACUCUGUUAUUAGGGAAGAACAAAUGUGUAAGUAACUAUGCACGUCUUGACGGUACCUAAUCAGAAAGCCACGGCUAACUACGUG
Molecule: ribosomal RNA, 497 nt
Filed under: uncultured bacterium
Lineage: Bacteria
Description: partial 16S ribosomal RNA
Rfam family: Bacterial small subunit ribosomal RNA
Source: RNAcentral